RNAcentral lists this unclassified non-coding RNA (220 nucleotides) under fungal sp. Its description in RNAcentral is "partial internal transcribed spacer region". The stretch from base 1 to 46 matches the Rfam family "Eukaryotic small subunit ribosomal RNA", at positions 1786 to 1831 of the family's 1831-position model. The record is from RNAcentral. Lineage: Eukaryota; Fungi.
AAGUCGUAACAAGGUUUCUGUAGGUGAACCUGCAGAAGGAUCAUUAGUGAAGAAUUAGGGUGUCCCUUUUGGGAACCCGAACCUCACUUUCCAACACCAAACGUGAACUGUUACCCCCCAUUUUUUAAACGCAAAGUUUUUGGAUGUACACUGCGCAAGCGGUGGUUUAAAUUGAAAAAUUAAACAAAUAAAACUUUCAACAACGGAUGUCUUGGCUCUC